AAAAAACUAAAGUGUAUGAUUCCAAAUUACAUAAUUAAUAUAAUGAAACAAUAAUAUUCUGAAGUCUCAUUUAUAUAUAUAAAUUUUACAAAAGAACUAAAUUGUAACAGUUGGUUAAUAUUUUAUUUUCAUUUUUAAUAUUUUUUGAGUUGUCCUAUGAUUUAUAUUUAUAAAAUAAAUUACUAUUCUUAUAAAAUUUUAUAAUCUUAUCAUAGUUAAAUCUAUGAUUUUAGAUAUAAGUUGGAUUAGUCGAAUCAUUCAUGUUGUGAGUAAUUAUUGAGUUACAUAUAUUCUUUCAAAUUAAAAAUUAAACAUAAUUAUUUUUUUAUUAUAAUUAAUUCAAAUGUGCAUGUAUUUUCAUAACAUUUAUCAAAUUAUAUGUUCAUGUUUUUUUAUAAAAAUAUUAGAAAAUAAAGGAUGAUCAAUAUGAAGUUACAUGCGUAAGUAGCUGAUACAUUUUUGAAAGCUCAUGUACACAUAUCAAUAUUUACAAUAAUUAAAAUAUUUUAAAAAUUCUAAAUAACUUUAUGCCUUUGAUUUAUUGAAUGGAAACUAAAAUUUAUUUGAAUAAUCUUAAAAAUGAGAAUUCAGAUUUGCUUUGGUAUUUUGAUUAUGGUUCUAUAAAGUUCCAUAAAUACAAAAACAUAAAAUUUAAAAUCAUAUUUAAUAUUAAGAAAAAUAACUUUAAUAAUGAUAAAAUAUAAUAUAUCUACCUCAUUAAACUAUUUUGUAACUAUUUGAUCAAACGAUGUUUAUUUUAGAAUUUUCUUUUUAGUUUUUUUUUAAUAUCUCUUAAAAAUAAGCAUUAAAAAAUUGUGAUUGUAUUUAAACUAAUAUUAAAUUAGUUAUAUGCGUAAGUAGCUGAUACAUUAAUUAUUUUUUAAGUAGAAGAAUUGAUCAAACAUUAUUAUUCUUUAUAUAAUUUCAACAAUAAGUUACCAUAAAUAAUUUUUUGUAAUAUAAUUUUAUUAUUUGCAAGUGAUAUUAAAUGGUUUAUUGACCAUGACUUAAACAAGUGAGUGCAGAAUGGAUAUCCUAAAAUAUUGCAUUUUUUUGUAAACCAUAUAAUUUCCAGUUUUUCAGUCAGUAACUUUCGAAAAAACUUAUAUAUUCGAUUUAAAAAUUAAGAAAAUCAAUUAUUUUACCUCUAAGACCUUACUUUGGCAUUUAAUUAAAUCGUAAAAUGAAAUAUUCUUAGAUAUUGAUUUGUUUUCUUAGUUUUAUAAAUUUUGAUUCUGCUGUUAUGCUUUAAGUCAUGGGUCAAUGUUUUAUUUCCAUAUUGUAUUAUGAUUAUCACCACUGAGAAAUUAAUAACAUGAUCAUUUAUGCGCUAAUUUCUUAAUUAAUAGUAGAAUAUAUGCGCAUUAUUUCCCUCUAUUUAAACUCUAAGGAGUAGUUGAUAAAAAUACAAACUUCCAAAGAGUAGUUGAUUCAGAAACUAAAAGUAAGGAACUAUAAGCAUUCUUGUGAUGGGAAUGGUUGGUUACACCGUAGCUCUGGUGGUGAUAACAGUGAUUGCCUCUCCUUGUGUUUAUGGAAAACAGUUAUCUGAUCAACAAGAAAUCAAAGUACAAAGACUUUUGAAGCGGCUCAAUAAGCCUGCUCUUAAAUCCAUUAAGAGUGAAGAUGGAGAUAUAAUAGACUGUGUUCCAAUAACUAAGCAACCAGCUUUUGACCACCCUCUACUUAAAAACCAUACGAUCCAGGUUUGUCUUCGUUUAUGAUCUCUUUUUUUUUAGUUACAUGCAUGAUUAUGUUGUAACAGAAUGUUUUCGUACGUAGAUGAGACCGAGUUUUGUUCCUGAAGGUGGUUCUACGUUCACCAAGAAAGAGGCAAAGGCUAUAACACAGGUGUGGCACAAGAAUGGAGUGUGCCCAAAUAACACUGUUCCUAUAAGAAGAACAAAGAAGGAAGAUAUCUUACGAGCAAAAUCCAUUGAGAGUUUCGGGAAAAAGAGACAUAAGAGUUUCGGGAAAGGGACUCAUCAGAGCAACCCUGGAGAAGGCCAUGAGGUACACCUUUUAUGCAUUGUCCUUGUGUUACUUAUUUACUGGUGGCCAUGUGCAGCUAGAUAAAUAUUUUUCAAUGAGAACAAAAGAAUAUUAGAUAUCUAAAUUUAUGUUAGUACUUUUUGUGCAACAUGUGAUUCUUAUCAUCAGAAAACACAAAUAACUUAUAAACCUUAAACACAAACAACAUCUAGUUGUACAUACUUUGACGAAAUGAAAUGCGUGUUUCUUUACUAUCAUUUUAUUACAUCAUCUUAUCUCAUUAGUCAUAUCUCUUAAUCAGAAAUCUCCAAAUUAUGUGUCAAAUAAUAUUGUUAUAUUAGUUUUUAUAUAACAUAUAUAUAUGCCAUAUAAAAUUAUACUAAGUUACUAUAAAUCAUGUAACAUGAUCUAUAACUAUGUAUAUUGGGAAAUUGUCACAAAUACUACAUUCAUAGUACCACAUUUCAUGUGUACACUAACUAAUUUUACCUUUACUUUUAAAAAAGUGUAAAAAACAUUUAGAUUUAGAGUUGAGGGAUGAGGUAGGCUAUUUGGAAUGUGAAAUUUAGGAUUCUAAUAAAUAUAUAAAUAAAUACUUUAAAAAAAUUAAAAAUAGUUGCAAACAUAAUUUUGAUUUUUAAAAUGAAAUUUUGAAAAAAAAAAUUAUAAAAAAGUUUGAAUUUGAAAAAAUAUAAUUCGAAAACAUAAAAAAUUAUUUAUUAUUUAUUAUA
Molecule: long non-coding RNA, 2723 nt
Organism: Brassica rapa (field mustard)
Lineage: Eukaryota; Viridiplantae; Streptophyta; Magnoliopsida; Brassicales; Brassicaceae
Source: RefSeq, a predicted model, not a curated record